This 81-nucleotide ribosomal RNA is filed under the name Massilia rubra. RNAcentral describes it as "partial 16S ribosomal RNA". It matches the Rfam family "Bacterial small subunit ribosomal RNA", at positions 1 to 76 of the family's 1533-position model. RNAcentral also lists the same sequence under 2 other names. The record is from RNAcentral. Lineage: Bacteria; Pseudomonadati; Pseudomonadota; Betaproteobacteria; Burkholderiales; Oxalobacteraceae.
AGAUUGAACUGAAGAGUUUGAUCCUGGCUCAGAUUGAACGCUGGCGGCAUGCCUUACACAUGCAAGUCGAACGGCAGCGCG